CUCGUCUGCCAUUGGUCUGUUGCUCUUGGGGGCGUGGAUGCUCUCGCAUAAAUAGGCUUGCAGGCAGGGCAUUCCUUAAGUGAGUCCUCAGAGUUGAUCCGUGCCUCUCCGUAAUAUACUGUUUCUUGUCAAAGUUUAGUGUGCUUGUGAUCCGGCGAAAUGCGUCUCUUUCUGGUAGUGUUCCUGGUCUUUGCGGUUCUUCUGGGACAUCUGUCCGAAGGGGAAACGGUAGGCGGCAAACUAAAAAUCCCAAGACGAAGACCAAGACCAACACAGUGCUGUCCUCCAAAUUGCCCUUGCUGUGAUCCAUUCAACCCUUGUACAUGCUUCGCCCCGUGUCCACCGGAUUAUUAGACUGCUGUCCAGUGACGUCAUUAGCCGUAUAUGGAAGAUCCUUCUUGAGCUGAUUUUGAAACUGUCAAUGUAAACAAGAUGUCUGUUUGUCGAAUAAUUAAAAGACUUAACACUUGAA
Long non-coding RNA from Macrobrachium nipponense, 472 nucleotides. RefSeq lists it as uncharacterized. The record is from RefSeq and is a predicted model, not a curated record. NCBI's taxonomy places the organism in Eukaryota, Metazoa, Arthropoda, Malacostraca, Decapoda, Palaemonidae. The transcript is spliced from 4 exons.